Molecule: ribosomal RNA, 460 nt
Filed under: uncultured bacterium
Lineage: Bacteria
Description: partial 16S ribosomal RNA
Rfam family: Bacterial small subunit ribosomal RNA
Source: RNAcentral
CCUACGGGAGGCAGCAGUGAGGAAUAUUGGUCAAUGGGCGGAAGCCUGAACCAGCCAAGCCGCGUGAGGGAAGACGGUCCUAUGGAUUGUAAACCUCUUUAGGCGGGGAGCAAUGCCGGGCACGCGUGCCCGGAGGGAGAGUACCCGCAGAAUAAGCAUCGGCUAACUCCGUGCCAGCAGCCGCGGUAAUACGGAGGAUGGGAGCGUUAUCCGGAUUUAUUGGGUUUAAAGGGUGGGUAGGCGGAUGUUUAAGUCAGCGGGAAAAUGUCGGGGCUCAACCCGGGCCGGCCGUUGAUACUGGGGAGCUAGAGUGGGCGAGAAGUAGGCGGAAUGCGUGGUGUAGCGGUGAAAUGCAUAGAUAUCACGCAGAACUCCGAUUGCGAAGGCAGCAUACCGGCGCCCGACUGACGCUGAGGCACGAAAGCGUGGGGAUCGAACAGGAUUAGAUACCCCUGUAGUC